Charadrius vociferus (killdeer) is the source of this 46-nucleotide non-coding RNA. The record is from Rfam. Lineage: Eukaryota; Metazoa; Chordata; Aves; Charadriiformes; Charadriidae.
CAUUAGGCCUUAUUAAAGGCCACAACUCAGUUAAAUUUGUUUAGAG